Molecule: ribosomal RNA, 428 nt
Filed under: uncultured bacterium
Lineage: Bacteria
Description: bacterial SSU rRNA
Rfam family: Bacterial small subunit ribosomal RNA
Source: RNAcentral
UCGAGAAUCAUUCGCAAUGGGCGCAAGCCUGACGGUGCGACGUCGCGUGGAGGAUGAAGGUCUUCGGAUUGUAAACUCCUGUCAUGUGGGAUAAAUGGCCAGGGCAUGGAUAGUGCCUUGGAAUGAUAGUACCACAGGAGGAAGGGACGGCUGACUCUGUGCCAGCAGCCGCGGUAAUUCAGAGGUCCCGAGCGUUGUUCGGAUUUACUGGGCGUAAAGGGAGCGUAGGCGGUUUGGUGUGUCGAAUGUGAGAGCCCACAACUCAACUGUGGAAUGGCAUUCGAAACUACUGAGCUAGAGUACUGGAGAGGAGAGCGGAAUUCUUGGUGUAGCGGUGAAAUGCGUAGAUAUCAAGAGGAACACCGGUGGCGAAGGCGGCUCUCUGGACAGAUACUGACGCUGAGGCUCUAAAGUUAGGGGAGCAAACA